AUUGAACGCUAGCGGGAUGCUUUACACAUGCAAGUCGACCGAGCGGCGGACGGGUGAGUAAUCUAUCGGAACGUGCCCAGUAGAGGGGGAUAACUACUCGAAAGAGUGGCUAAUACCUCAUACUAUUGGAGCAGCCCAUAUGGGAUUAGCUAGUUGGUGGGGUAAAGGCUCACCAAGGCAACGAUCCGUAGGUGGUGCGAGAGGACGAUCAGCCACACUGGGACUGAGAAACGGCCCAGACGCCGACGGGAGGCAGCAGUGGGGAAAUUUGGACAAUGGGGGAAACCCUGAUCCAGCCAUGCCGCGUGUAUGAGAAGGCCUUCGGGUUGUAAAGUACUUUUGGCAGAGAAGCGGUAUCUGCAGAAUAAGCACCGGCUAACUACGUGCCAGCAGCCGCGGUAAUUC
Molecule: ribosomal RNA, 405 nt
Filed under: uncultured bacterium
Lineage: Bacteria
Description: partial 16S ribosomal RNA
Rfam family: Bacterial small subunit ribosomal RNA
Source: RNAcentral